RNAcentral lists this small RNA (158 nucleotides) under Listeria welshimeri. Its description in RNAcentral is "Listeria sRNA rli22". It matches the Rfam family "Listeria sRNA rli22". Lineage: Bacteria; Bacillati; Bacillota; Bacilli; Caryophanales; Listeriaceae. RNAcentral also lists the same sequence under 1 other name. The record is from RNAcentral.
AGGACUGAGGGAUAUGCUUAGAAUGAGAAAAAUACUCGAAAAAAACAACCAAUCAAGAAUGAAGAUAAUAGGUUUUUCUUUAACGUUCGCGCAUAAUAAUUCCGCGUCUUUUCAAGGUUACGUUCGUUAAAAGUUAGGUCCUUCAAUCUUUCUUGAUU